UUCAACGGAGAGUUUGAUCCUGGCUCAGGACGAACGCUGGCGGCGUGCUUAACACAUGCAAGUCGAGCGGUAAGGCUCCUUCGGGAGUACACGAGCGGCGAACGGGUGAGUAACACGUGAGCAAUCUGCCCUUCACAUCGGAAUAACCAUUGGAAACGAUGGCUAAUACCGAAUAUGACUUCGGAAUGCAUGUUCUGAAGUGGAAAGCUCCGGCGGUGAAGGAUGAGCUCGCGGCCUAUCAGCUUGUUGGUGAGGUAAUAGCUCACCAAGGCGAUGACGGGUAGCCGGCCUGAGAGGGUGACCGGCCACACUGGGACUGAGACACGGCCCAGACUCCUACGGGAGGCAGCAGUGGGGAAUAUUGGACAAUGGGCGAAAGCCUGAUCCAGCAACGCCGCGUGAGGGAUGACGGCCU
Molecule: ribosomal RNA, 415 nt
Filed under: Aeromicrobium sp.
Lineage: Bacteria; Bacillati; Actinomycetota; Actinomycetes; Propionibacteriales; Nocardioidaceae
Description: bacterial SSU rRNA
Rfam family: Bacterial small subunit ribosomal RNA
Source: RNAcentral